CCGCUGUGAAGGUGCUGCAUGGUUGUCGUCAGCUCGUGCCGUGAGGUGUCGGCUUAAGUGCCAUAACGAGCGCAACCCUUAUCUUUAGUUACUAACAGGUCAUGCUGAGGACUCUGGAGAGACUGCCGUCGUAAGAUGUGAGGAAGGUGGGGAUGACGUCAAAUCAGCACGGCCCUUACGUCCGGGGCUACACACGUGUUACAAUGGGGGGUACAGAAGGCAGCUAGCGGGUGACCGUAUGCUAAUCCCAAAAGCCUCUCUCAGUUCGGAUCGAAGUCUGCAACCCGACUUCGUGAAGCUGGAUUCGCUAGUAAUCGCGCAUCAGCCACGGCGCGGUGAAUACGUUCCCGGGCCUUGUACACACCGCCCGUCAAGCCAUGGGAGCCGGGGGUACCUGAAGUACGUAACCGCAAGGAUCGUCCUAGGGUAAAACUGGUGACUGGGGCUAAGUCGUAACAAGGUAGCCGUACCGGAAGGUGCGGCUGGAACACCUCCUUU
Molecule: ribosomal RNA, 498 nt
Filed under: Bacteroides fragilis
Lineage: Bacteria; Pseudomonadati; Bacteroidota; Bacteroidia; Bacteroidales; Bacteroidaceae
Description: bacterial SSU rRNA
Rfam family: Bacterial small subunit ribosomal RNA
Source: RNAcentral